This is a long non-coding RNA of Carassius gibelio (silver crucian carp), 743 nucleotides long. RefSeq lists it as uncharacterized. Lineage: Eukaryota; Metazoa; Chordata; Actinopteri; Cypriniformes; Cyprinidae. The record is from RefSeq and is a predicted model, not a curated record. The transcript is spliced from 3 exons.
GAUGUUUUAACCCAAGUUUGGGUUGAAAAUAACUCUCUUUUUUAACCCAGCGGGGUGGGUUGAGGACGCGGACGUGAAGGAGAGCACGCACGUCACGUCAAAAUCGUACGUCUCCAGUGCGAGCAGCCGCCAUUUUCUCAGCGUGAUAGAAGCGAGAAGCGAGUGAAAGACUAUGACUUGUCCAGCUCCUGUCUUCAUUGUCCUCGCGCCGAGAGUUAAAGACACAGAAGCUGUUUGUGUGAGGAGUCACAGACCUGUGUGAGGAUGAGGAGGAGGUGUUCUUCUGAAGAGAGGGACAGACGGUUUAAGGAGAGUAAACUUCAGAAUAACAUCAAGCUAUCUUUAUUUUUACUAAGACUAAAAUAAUGUGUGUGUGUUUUUAGAUGUUGAAAUCCAGAGACAAGAUAACUUCAUUCUUUUGAGACUGAUAACUCAAACUAACUGGAGUUAAGGACACACAAGUCUGCUUGUGUAAGGAGGUGGUUUUCUCAGCUUCUUCUGAAGAGAGGGAAAGAUAGUUUAAGGCAAGUAAACUUCAUAAUUUCAUGUUAUCAGUUGUUGUUUUUUUACUAAGAGUAAAAUAAUGUUUGUUUUUUGUUUUUGUAGAUGUUAAAAGCAAGAGACAUGGGAGAGCAUCAUUCCUUUGAGAUUUUAUCUAAGUUAUUUUUAGAAAAUAAAUUUUUCUGUUAUCUCCUGCCAGUUUACUUCACAUUUUGAUGCAACAACAGUGUGAUUACGUGCUC